CCCAUUUGCAAAACAGUCUAACGCAAAAGCUACAACAAAAAGCAACCUCUUUCCUUUACUAAAAAAUCCAGUUUAACUUGGAUAAUAGAAAAGAGAUUUAAGAACCCUAAUCCGUGGAGAGAUUUAAGAACCCUAAUCCGUGGAUUUGAAAGCUUAAAGUGCAAGUCUUUUGAGCUAGACCACACUGCCUGUCUUUAAGCUUCGAUUCCAGAUGACUGACUCUUG
Molecule: unclassified non-coding RNA, 225 nt
Filed under: Hevea brasiliensis (rubber tree)
Lineage: Eukaryota; Viridiplantae; Streptophyta; Magnoliopsida; Malpighiales; Euphorbiaceae
Source: RNAcentral